UCCCAAGUAGCACGGGGCCCGAGAAAUCCCGUGUGAAUCUGGCGGGACCACCCGCUAAGCCUAAAUAUUCCCUGGUGACCGAUAGCGGACAAGUACCGUGAGGGAAAGGUGAAAAGUACCCCGGGAGGGGAGUGAAAUAGAUCCUGAAACCGUGUGCCUACAAUCCGUCGGAGCCUCCUUGUGGGGUGACGGCGUGCCUUUUGAAGAAUGAGCCUGCGAGUUAGUGCUCAGUGGCGAGGUUAACCCGUGUGGGGAAGCCGUAGCGAAAGCGAGUCCGAAUAGGGCGUUUUAGUCGCUGGGUCUAGACCCGAAGCGGAGUGAUCUACCCAUGGCCAGGUUGAAGCGACGGUAAGACGUCGUGGAGGACCGAACCCACUUAGGUUGAAAACUGAGGGGAUGAGCUGUGGGUAGGGGUGAAAGGCCAAUCAAACUCCGUGAUAGCUGGUUCUCCCCGAAAUGCAUUUAGGUGCAGCGUCACGUGUUUCUUACCGGAGGUAGAGCUACUGGAUAGCUGAUGGGCCUCACCAGGUUACUGACGUUAGCCAAACUCCGAAUGCCGGUAAGUGAGAGCGUGGCAGUGAGACUGCGGGGGAUAAGCUCCGUAGUCGAGAGGGAAACAGCCCAGACCACCAUCUAAGGUCCCUAAGCGUGUGCUAAGUGGGAAAGGAUGUGGAGUUGCAUUGACAACCAGGAGGUUGGCUUAGAAGCAGCCACCCUUUAAAGAGUGCGUAAUAGC
This 736-nucleotide ribosomal RNA is filed under the name Salmonella enterica. Its description in RNAcentral is "partial 23S ribosomal RNA". It matches the Rfam family "Bacterial large subunit ribosomal RNA", at positions 406 to 1141 of the family's 2925-position model. Lineage: Bacteria; Pseudomonadati; Pseudomonadota; Gammaproteobacteria; Enterobacterales; Enterobacteriaceae. The record is from RNAcentral.